UGCCGCGUGUGUGAUGAAGGCCCUACGGUUGUUAAGCUCUUUCACAUGUGAAGAUGAUGACGGUAGCCGGAGAAGAAGCCCCGGCUAACUUCGUGCCAGCAGCCGCGGUAAUACGAAGGGGGCGAGCGUUAUUCGGAAUUACUGGGCGUAAAGGGCUCGCAGGCUGCUUGAACAGUUAGACGUGAAAUCCCCGGGCUCAACCUGGGAACUGCGUUUAAUACUGCCAAGCUAGAGUNCUAGAGAGGAAAGUGGAAUUCCCAGUGUAGAGGUGAAAUUCGUAGAUAUUGGGAAGAACACCAGUGGCGAAAGCGGCUCACUGGCUCUGUUCUGACGCUGAGGAGCGAAAGCGUGGGGAGCAAACAGGAUUAGAUACCCUGGUAGUCCACACCGUAAACGAUGUGUGCUAGAUGUUGGA
RNAcentral lists this ribosomal RNA (415 nucleotides) under uncultured Alphaproteobacteria bacterium. RNAcentral's name for it is "bacterial SSU rRNA". It matches the Rfam family "Bacterial small subunit ribosomal RNA", at positions 395 to 827 of the family's 1533-position model. The record is from RNAcentral. Lineage: Bacteria; Pseudomonadati; Pseudomonadota; Alphaproteobacteria.